GAGGUGUUAGUAAAACAAUUACAUAAUCUUGUCAAGAUUAAAUUACAGGUGAAAACCCCGUACACCUCUA
RNAcentral lists this transfer RNA (70 nucleotides) under Locustella castanea (Chestnut-backed bush-warbler). Its description in RNAcentral is "tRNA-Asp". Lineage: Eukaryota; Metazoa; Chordata; Aves; Passeriformes; Locustellidae. The record is from RNAcentral.